RNAcentral lists this long non-coding RNA (371 nucleotides) under Mytilus galloprovincialis (Mediterranean mussel). Lineage: Eukaryota; Metazoa; Mollusca; Bivalvia; Mytilida; Mytilidae. The record is from RNAcentral.
GAAAUACUGAAUGUUUGGUUGAAACUACUGUUCUGAAAAAUCAAUAAGUUCAAGUCCAAUUUUUGGUUUCAAUAUGGAAAAGAACGGAUAUGGGUUAAUGGCACGAAGACAUCACAUAUUAGUCAUUACUAGUAAAUGCCACACAAAAAAUUAAAUCUAGAGCUGACGACACGAACUUCCCACUUACAGACAUCCAUCUCUGGAUGGCCUCAAACAAAACAAGAACAACCGAACCCAAGGACACAUCAAUGACUUAAAUGGAUCUUUUAAAUAUAAAAACGACUUUCGACCUCUAUGUUGGAAAAAACGACCUGCGACCUGUACAUUUCCCUUAAAAACGACCUCGUGACCUUGCGACGAAUUUAAAAGCG